RNAcentral lists this unclassified non-coding RNA (378 nucleotides) under plant metagenome. Its description in RNAcentral is "partial contains 5.8S ribosomal RNA, internal transcribed spacer 2, and large subunit ribosomal RNA". The stretch from base 1 to 105 matches the Rfam family "5.8S ribosomal RNA", at positions 50 to 154 of the family's 154-position model. The record is from RNAcentral.
GAAAUGCGAUAAGUAAUGUGAAUUGCAGAAUUCAGUGAAUCAUCGAAUCUUUGAACGCACCUUGCGCUCCUUGGUAUUCCUUGGAGCAUGCCUGUUUGAGUAUCAUGAAAUCUUCAAAGUAAAUCUUUUGUUAACUCAAUUGGUUUCUACUUUGGUAUUGGAGGUCUUUGCAGCUUCACACCUGCUCCUCUUUGUUCAUUAGCUGGAUCUCAGUGUUAUGCUUGGUUCCACUCGGCGUGAUAAGUUAUCUAUCGCUGAGGACACUGUAAAAGGUGGCCAAGGUAAAUGCAGAUUACCCGCUUCUAAUAGUCCAUUGACUUGGACAAUACUUUUAUGAUCUGAUCUCAAAUCAGGUAGGACUACCCGCUGAACUUAAGC